CAAGUCGCACGGGACCCGCAAGGGUUCAGUGGCGAACGGGUGAGUAAUGUAUCGCUAAUGUGCCCCGGACUCUGGGAUAGCUGACCGAAAGGUCAGGUAAUACCAGAUGAUAUACCUUUGUCGCAUGGCAGAGGUCUCAAAGGUCCGCCGGUCUGGGAGCAGGCGAUAUCGUAUCAGGUAGUUGGUGAGGUAACGGCUCACCAAGCCGACGACGCGUAGCUGGUCUGAGAGGACGGCCAGCCACAUCGGGACUGAGACACUGCCCGGACUCCUACGGGGGGCUGCAGUAACGAAUCUUCCACAAUGCACGAAAGUGUGAUGGAGCGACGCCGCGUGUGGGACGAAGUCCUUCGGGAUGUAAACCACUGUCAGGGGUAAGAAAGUUCUGAUCUACCCCAGAGGAAGAGACGGCUAACUCUGUGCCAGCAGCCGCGGUAAUACAGAGGUCUCGAGCGUUAGGCGGAAUCACUGGGCUUAAAGCGCGUGUAGGCGGAUCGUUAAGUACCUUGUGAAAUCCCACGGCUUAACCGUGGAACUGCUGGGUAUACUGGCGGUCUUGUGCCAUCUAGGGGCCUGCGGAACAAACGGUGGAGCGGUGAAAUGCGUAGAUAUCGUUUGGAACGCCAAUGGUGAAAACAGCAGGCUGGGGAUGUGCAGACGCUGAGACGCGAAAGCCAGGGGAGCAAACGGGAUUAGAUACCCCGGUAGUCCUGGCCGUAAACGAUGUCGACUAGAUCGUAGCACCUCUGACGGUGUUAUGGUCGAAGCAAAAGUGCUAAGUCGACCGCCUGGGAAGUACGGUCGCAAGGCUAAAACUCAAAGAAAUUGACGGGGGCUCACACAAGCGGUGGAGCAUGUGGUUCAAUUCGAAGCAACGCGCAGAACCUUACCUGGGCUU
This 898-nucleotide ribosomal RNA is filed under the name uncultured bacterium. RNAcentral's name for it is "bacterial SSU rRNA". It matches the Rfam family "Bacterial small subunit ribosomal RNA", at positions 58 to 982 of the family's 1533-position model. The record is from RNAcentral.